Molecule: ribosomal RNA, 748 nt
Filed under: uncultured soil bacterium
Lineage: Bacteria
Description: bacterial SSU rRNA
Rfam family: Bacterial small subunit ribosomal RNA
Source: RNAcentral
AGAGUUUGAUCCUGGCUCAGAUUGAACGCUGGCGGCAUGCCUUACACAUGCAAGUCGAACGGCAGCACGGGUGCUUGCACCUGGUGGCGAGUGGCGAACGGGUGAGUAAUACAUCGGAACAUGUCCUGUAGUGGGGGAUAGCCCGGCGAAAGCCGGAUUAAUACCGCAUACGAUCUACGGAUGAAAGCGGGGGACCUUCGGGCCUCGCGCUAUAGGGUUGGCCGAUGGCUGAUUAGCUAGUUGGUGGGGUAAAGGCCUACCAAGGCGACGAUCGGUAGCUGGUCUGAGAGGACGACCAGCCACACUGGGACUGAGACACGGCCCAGACUCCUACGGGAGGCAGCAGUGGGGAAUUUUGGACAAUGGGCGAAAGCCUGAUCCAGCAAUGCCGCGUGUGUGAAGAAGGCCUUCGGGUUGUAAAGCACUUUUGUCCGGAAAGAAAUCCUUGGCUCUAAUACAGUCGGGGGAUGACGGUACCGGAAGAAUAAGCACCGGCUAACUACGUGCCAGCAGCCGCGGUAAUACGUAGGGUGCAAGCGUUACUCGGAAUUACUGGGCGUAAAGCGUGCGUAGGUGGUGAUUUAAGUCCGUUGUGAAAGCCCUGGGCUCAACCUGGGAAUUGCAGUGGAUACUGGGUCACUAGAGUGUGGUAGAGGGUAGCGGAAUUCCCGGUGUAGCAGUGAAAUGCGUAGAGAUCGGGAGGAACAUCUGUGGCGAAGGCGGCUACCUGGACCAACACUGACACUGA